AAUGGGUCGCCAGAUGACGAUACAUUGUAAACCCCGUCAGGCCUGGAAAGGAGCAGCGGUAGCAAUCAAUUCGAGCAUCUGGAAUGGCUCUUAAAA
RNAcentral lists this signal recognition particle RNA (96 nucleotides) under Legionellaceae bacterium. RNAcentral's name for it is "signal recognition particle sRNA small type". It matches the Rfam family "Bacterial small signal recognition particle RNA". Rfam says of the family: The signal recognition particle (SRP) is a universally conserved ribonucleoprotein involved in the co-translational targeting of proteins to membranes. Archaeal SRP consists of a 7S RNA and homologues of the eukaryotic SRP19 and SRP54 proteins. In most bacteria, the SRP consists of a 4.5S RNA and the Ffh protein (a homologue of the eukaryotic SRP54 protein). Lineage: Bacteria; Pseudomonadati; Pseudomonadota; Gammaproteobacteria; Legionellales; Legionellaceae. The record is from RNAcentral. RNAcentral also lists the same sequence under 1 other name.